CAGAUAGCUGAACCACAUUUGUGGUGAUGAAAGGUUUGGUCAGAAAAGGAGGCUGGGGUAAAACAGCAUCUAUUCUGUCAUUUGAAGAAUGGGAAGGAUUUUGCUAGAACAAGAGAGGGUGGGAAAAUAAGAAAGGAAAAUAGAACAUUUUAGGGAAAGGGAAUAGUGUGUGCAAAGAUGAAGAAGUAUAAAAGAAAAUGUAGCUUAUUCCAGAAACUGCUAAAAGGAUCAAUAUGCUGUCGUGUCAUGAGAGAGCCACAAUUCUUCAAACAUAUUUAACUGCUGGAGAGAAUGGCUCAGAAUCCCAGGUAUCAGCUUCAGCACACAUCUCUUCUUGGCCCUUGACAGAAGAAGCAGAGUAACUUUUCUUAGGUGGCAUAAUUCUUCAAAAUGUGUUCAUUUUGAAGAACAGGGGUGAUGGAUGGUAAUACACAGGCAGGGAUCAACAGUCCCAGAACUGAAGGAAGAGUUGACAAAUGUAUCAAAGAUGCCUAAUCAAAAUGUGUCCACAUUCUGCUAA
Molecule: long non-coding RNA, 520 nt
Filed under: Homo sapiens (human)
Lineage: Eukaryota; Metazoa; Chordata; Mammalia; Primates; Hominidae
Description: HSALNT0321296
Source: RNAcentral